AACUCAAAGGAAUUGACGGGGGCCCGCACAAGCGGUGGAGCAUGUGGUCUAAUUCGAUGCAACGCGAAGAACCUUACCUGGUCUUGACAUCCACGGAAGUUUUCAGAGAUGAGAAUGUGCCUUCGGGAACCGUGAGACAGGUGCUGCAUGGCUGUCGUCAGCUCGUGUUGUGAAAUGUUGGGUUAAGUCCCACAGCGAGCGCAACCCUUAUCCUUUGUUGCCAGCGGUCCGGCCGGGAACUCAAAGGAGACUGCCAGUGAUAAACUGGAGGAAGGUGGGGAUGACGUCAAGUCAUCAUGGCCCUUACGACCAGGGCUACACACGUGCUACAAUGGCGCAUACAAAGAGAAGCGAUCUCACGAGAGCAAGCGGACCUCAUAAAGUGCGUCGUAGUCCGGAUUGGAGUCUGCAACUCGACUCCAUGAAGUCGGAAUCGCUAGUAAUCGUGGAUCAGAAUGCCACGGUGAAUACGUUCCCGGGCCGUGUACACACCGCCCGUC
Molecule: ribosomal RNA, 500 nt
Filed under: uncultured Gammaproteobacteria bacterium
Lineage: Bacteria; Pseudomonadati; Pseudomonadota; Gammaproteobacteria
Description: bacterial SSU rRNA
Rfam family: Bacterial small subunit ribosomal RNA
Source: RNAcentral